GACGAACGCUGGCGGCGUGCUUAACACAUGCAAGUCGAACGGGCCUGUCUUCUUUUUUGGGGGGUGGGUUGAGUGGCGAACGGGUGAGUAUCACGUGAGUAACCUGCCCUUCGGUCCUGGAUAACCGCUUGAAAGGGCGGCUAAUACGGGGUGGUCCGGUUGGUCCGCAUGGGCUGGUCGGGAUAGAUUCACUGUUUUUGGUGUUUCGGCGGGGGAUGGGCUCGCGGCCUAUCAGCUUGUUGGUGGGGUGAUGGCCUACCAAGGCGGUGACGGGUAGCCGGGCUGGGGGGGUGGGCGGCCACACUGGGACUGAGAUACGGCCCAGACUCCUGCGGGAGGCAGCAGUGGGGGGUAUUGCACAAUGGGCGGAAGCCUGAUGCAGCGACGUCGCGUGAGGGAUGGAGGCCUUCGGGUUGUGAACCUCUGUUUCCGGUGGUGAAGGCCCUGUCCGUGUGGUGGGGUUGACGGUAGCCGGGGAUGAAGCGCCGGCUAACUACGUG
This 500-nucleotide ribosomal RNA is filed under the name uncultured bacterium. RNAcentral's name for it is "partial 16S ribosomal RNA". It matches the Rfam family "Bacterial small subunit ribosomal RNA", at positions 28 to 507 of the family's 1533-position model. The record is from RNAcentral.